Molecule: ribosomal RNA, 463 nt
Filed under: uncultured bacterium
Lineage: Bacteria
Description: partial 16S ribosomal RNA
Rfam family: Bacterial small subunit ribosomal RNA
Source: RNAcentral
GAUGAACGCUGACAGAAUGCUUAACACAUGCAAGUCUUUGGCGAAUCUGUGCUUGCACAGGCUAGCCAAGGCGGACGGGUGAGUAACGCGUAAAGAACUUGCCCUGCAGACAGGGAUAACAGACGGAAACGACUGAUAACACCUGAUACAGUUGCCGGCACGCAUGUGCCUGGCAAUGAAAAGAGAUGCUGCAGGAGAGCUUUGCGUCCUAUUAGCUUGUUGGUGAGGUGACGGCUCACCAAGGCGAUGAUAGGUAGCCGGCCUGAGAGGGUGAACGGCCACAAGGGGACUGAGAUACGGCCCUUACUCCUACGGGAGGCAGCAGUGGGGAAUAUUGGACCAUGGGGGCAACCCUGAUCCAGCAAUUCUGUGUGCACGAAGAAGGUUUUCGGAUUGUAAAGUGCUUUCAGAAGGGAAGAAGAAAGUGACGGUACCUGCAGAAGAAGCGACGGCUAAAUACGUG